CUACGUGCCAGCAGCCGCGGUAAUACGUAGGGUGCGAGCGUUAAUCGGAAUUACUGGGCGUAAAGCGAGCGCAGACGGUUACUUAAGCAGGAUGUGAAAUCCCCGGGCUCAACCUGGGAACUGCGUUCUGAACUGGGUGACUAGAGUGUGUCAGAGGGAGGUAGAAUUCCACGUGUAGCAGUGAAAUGCGUAGAGAUGUGGAGGAAUACCGAUGGCGAAGGCAGCCUCCUGGGAUAACACUGACGUUCAUGCUCGAAAGCGUGGGUAGCAAACAGGAUUAGAUACCCUGGUAGUCCACGCCCUAAACGAUGUCAAUUAGCUGUUGGGCAACUUGAUUGCUUAGUAGCGUAGCUAACGCGUGAAAUUGACCGCCUGGGGAGUACGGUCGCAAGAUUAAAACUCAAAGGAAUUGACAGGGACCCGCACAAGCGGUGGAUGAUGUGGAUUAAUUCGAUGCAACGCGAAGAACCUUACCUGGUCUUGACAUCCCUCUGACCGCUCUAGAGAUAGAGUUUUC
This 517-nucleotide ribosomal RNA is filed under the name uncultured bacterium. RNAcentral's name for it is "bacterial SSU rRNA". It matches the Rfam family "Bacterial small subunit ribosomal RNA", at positions 501 to 1016 of the family's 1533-position model. The record is from RNAcentral.